GACCAGGCCCGACCAGGACCAGGCGUGUCUUCUGGGUUAGAGCCUGGGGGAGAGCCCGCCUCUCUGGAAGACCCUGAAACCCAGAGGCAACUGGGCUCUUCCACCCUCAAACCUCCCUCUCUGCUCUCCACAGCCUGGUUCCACCUCCCAGAGUUCCCCUCCCCCUCAACCCCUUUCUUAAAAACAAAACCCGCUAGGCCUCUGGCGUUUCCCUACCAUUGGGUGGGCCGACUGUGGAAGGUGAAUGCUGGGCUGUUCCUGCUGAUGGCAGAGGCAGAGGACCCCCAUUUCCCAGCAACGUUAUAAAUGAGAAGAAUAGAGAAAAUACUGUCCCCAGAUAUCUUGACUCCUUCGGUAUUCGAGACCCAUCAACAACUGAUUAUUGAAUUGAUUAACCGGAUGUUUCUGGGAAGGUUGACUCCCAUCUGAGGAGUAACUACUGAAAAUCAUCUUCACGCUUCUUGGUACCUGGUUUCUCAGCCAGGCUAGACAAGGGGUAGACACAAGGCAGCCCUUCAUCCUCGUCCUUGUUGGGGAGGACCUCGUGUGAACACCUGGACACUGCAGCUGUUGCAGCCAUUCUGCAGUCCAGAGGGAGAGGACACCCAAAAGAACCAUGGAGAAGCUGCUCCACAGCCCAGACCUCCCUGAAUCAACUCAGCCAGCACGGAAGCUUCCCGUAGCUCAGUGUAUUGUCAUAUGAAAUAUGAAGGUAUCAUAUAAUAACAUAGCUAAUAGUCUCUAAAAGUA
Canis lupus familiaris (dog) is the source of this 750-nucleotide long non-coding RNA. RefSeq lists it as uncharacterized. The transcript has 3 exons. The record is from RefSeq and is a predicted model, not a curated record. NCBI's taxonomy places the organism in Eukaryota, Metazoa, Chordata, Mammalia, Carnivora, Canidae.